Molecule: ribosomal RNA, 465 nt
Filed under: uncultured bacterium
Lineage: Bacteria
Description: bacterial SSU rRNA
Rfam family: Bacterial small subunit ribosomal RNA
Source: RNAcentral
CCUACGGGUUGCAGCAGUGGGGAAUAUUGCACAAUGGGCGCAAGCCUGAUGCAGCCAUGCCGCGUGUAUGAAGAAGGCCUUCGGGUUGUAAAGUACUUUCAGCGGGGAGGAAGGUGUUGAGGUUAAUAACCUCAGCAAUUGACAUUACCCGCAGAAGAAGCACCGGCUAACUCCGUGCCAGCAGCCGCGGUAAUACGGAGGGUGCAAGCGUUAAUCGGAAUUACUGGGCGUAAAGCGCACGCAGGCGGUCUGUCAAGUCGGAUGUGAAAUCCCCGGGCUCAACCUGGGAGCUGCAUUCGAAACUGGCAGGCUGGAGUCUUGUAGAGGGGGGUAGAAUUCCAGGUGUAGCGGUGAAAUGCGUAGAGAUCUGGAGGAAUACCGGUGGCGAAGGCGGCCCCCUGGACAAAGACUGACGCUCAGGUGCGAAAGCGUGGGGAGCAAACAGGAUUAGAUACCCGUGUAGUC